UACGCUCAAAUCACGUUGAAACACUACUUCCCGUCAGAUCAACGAAGUUAAGCCAUGUCGAGCCUGGUCAGUACCUCGAUGACCGCUUGGGAAUACCAGGUGCUGUAAG
Non-coding RNA from Acanthosepion pharaonis, 109 nucleotides. The record is from the annotation of a GenBank genome assembly. NCBI's taxonomy places the organism in Eukaryota, Metazoa, Mollusca, Cephalopoda, Sepiida, Sepiidae.